Molecule: ribosomal RNA, 234 nt
Filed under: Astrosyne radiata
Lineage: Eukaryota; Bacillariophyta; Fragilariophyceae; Cyclophorales; Cyclophoraceae
Description: partial Bacterial large subunit ribosomal RNA
Rfam family: Bacterial large subunit ribosomal RNA
Source: RNAcentral
GAAGCAGCUAUCCUUAAAAGAGUGCGUAAUAGCUCACUAGUCGAGUGACACUGCGCCGAAAAUGUACCGGGGCUAAACAUAUUACCGAAGCUGUGGAUUGUCCGUAGGACAGUGGUAGGAGAGCGUUCUAAGGGCGUUGAAGCAUGACCGUAAGGACGUGUGGAGCGCUUAGAAGUGAGAAUGCCGGUGUGAGUAGCGAAAGACGGGUGAGAAACCCGUCCUCCGAAAGACCAA